UGAGGCAGGAGAAUCGCUUGAACCCAGGAGGUGGAGGUUGCAGUGAGCUGAGAUUGCACCACUGUACUCCGGCCUGGAUGACAGAGAGUCCAUCUCAAAAAAAAGACAA
Molecule: microRNA precursor, 109 nt
Filed under: Chlorocebus sabaeus (green monkey)
Lineage: Eukaryota; Metazoa; Chordata; Mammalia; Primates; Cercopithecidae
Description: miRNA (ENSCSAG00000027660.1)
Source: RNAcentral